RNAcentral lists this ribosomal RNA (253 nucleotides) under uncultured bacterium. RNAcentral describes it as "partial 16S ribosomal RNA". It matches the Rfam family "Bacterial small subunit ribosomal RNA", at positions 524 to 776 of the family's 1533-position model. The record is from RNAcentral.
UACGGAGGGUGCAAGCGUUAUCCGGAUUUAUUGGGUUUAAAGGGUGCGUAGGUGGGCUGGUAAGUCAGUGGUGAAAUCUCCAGGCUUAACUUGGAAACUGCCAUUGAUACUAUCAGUCUUGAAUACCGUGGAGGUCAGCGGAAUAUGUCAUGUAGCGGUGAAAUGCUUAGAUAUGACAUAGAACACCAAUUGCGAAGGCAGCUGGCUACACGAAUAUUGACACUGAUGCACGAAAGCGUGGGGAUCAAACAGG